Molecule: ribosomal RNA, 483 nt
Filed under: uncultured bacterium
Lineage: Bacteria
Description: bacterial SSU rRNA
Rfam family: Bacterial small subunit ribosomal RNA
Source: RNAcentral
GAAUUCAACUCCUACGGGAGGCAGCAGUGGGGAAUAUUGCACAAUGGGGGAAACCCUGAUGCAGCCAUGCCGCGUGUGUGAAGAAGGCCUUCGGGUUGUAAAGCACUUUCAGUAGGGAGGAAAGGGUGUAGUUUAAUACGCUAUAUCUGUGACGUUACCUACAGAAGAAGGACCGGCUAACUCCGUGCCAGCAGCCGCGGUAAUACGGAGGGUCCGAGCGUUAAUCGGAAUUACUGGGCGUAAAGCGUGCGCAGGCGGUUUGUUAAGCGAGAUGUGAAAGCCCUGGGCUCAACCUAGGAAUAGCAUUUCGAACUGGCGAACUAGAGUCUUGUAGAGGGGGGUAGAAUUCCAGGUGUAGCGGUGAAAUGCGUAGAGAUCUGGAGGAAUACCGGUGGCGAAGGCGGCCCCCUGGACAAAGACUGACGCUCAUGCACGAAAGCGUGGGGAGCAAACAGGAUUAGAAACCCUAGUAGUCCAGGCGUU